UACGUAGGGGGCUAGCGUUGUCCGGAAUCAUUGGGCGUAAAGCGCGCGUAGGCGGCCCGGUAAGUCCGCUGUGAAAGUCAAAGGCUCAACCUUUGAAUGUCAGCGGAUACUGCCGGGCUUGAGUCCGGAAGGGGCGAGUGGAAUUCCUGGUGUAGCGGUGAAAUGCGCAGAUAUCAGGAGGAACACCGGUGGCGAAGGCGGGUCUCUGGGCAGUAACUGACGCUGAGGAGCGAAAGCGUGGGGAGCGAACAGG
This 253-nucleotide ribosomal RNA is filed under the name uncultured bacterium. Its description in RNAcentral is "partial 16S ribosomal RNA". It matches the Rfam family "Bacterial small subunit ribosomal RNA", at positions 524 to 776 of the family's 1533-position model. The record is from RNAcentral.